This 445-nucleotide ribosomal RNA is filed under the name uncultured bacterium. Its description in RNAcentral is "partial 16S ribosomal RNA". It matches the Rfam family "Bacterial small subunit ribosomal RNA", at positions 354 to 796 of the family's 1533-position model. The record is from RNAcentral.
GUGAGGAAUAUUGGUCAAUGGACGAGAGUCUGAACCAGCCAAGUCGCGUGAAGGAAGACUGUUCUAUGAAUUGUAAACUUCUUUUGUGCAGGAAUAAAGUGGGUUACGUGUAACCUUUUGUAUGUACUGUACGAAUAAGGAUCGGCUAACUCCGUGCCAGCAGCCGCGGUAAUACGGAGGAUCCGAGCGUUAUCCGGAUUUAUUGGGUUUAAAGGGUGCGUAGGUGGAUUGAUAAGUCAGCGGUGAAAGUUUGCAGCUUAACUGUAAAAUUGCCGUUGAAACUGUCGGUCUUGAGUGCAAAUGAGGUAGGCGGAAUGUGUUGUGUAGCGGUGAAAUGCUUAGAUAUAACACAGAACUCCGAUUGCGAAGGCAGCUUACUGGGAUGCAACUGACACUGAUGCACGAAAGCGUGGGUAUCAAACAGGAUUAGAAACCCUGGUAGUCC